RNAcentral lists this ribosomal RNA (450 nucleotides) under uncultured bacterium. RNAcentral's name for it is "bacterial SSU rRNA". It matches the Rfam family "Bacterial small subunit ribosomal RNA", at positions 354 to 796 of the family's 1533-position model. The record is from RNAcentral.
GUGGGGAAUAUUGGACAAUGGGCGAAAGCCUGAUCCAGCCAUGCCGCGUGUGUGAAGAAGGUCUUCGGAUUGUAAAGCACUUUAAGUUGGGAGGAAGGGCAGUAAGUUAAUACCUUGCUGUUUUGACGUUACCAACAGAAUAAGCACCGGCUAACUUCGUGCCAGCAGCCGCGGUAAUACGAAGGGUGCAAGCGUUAAUCGGAAUUACUGGGCGUAAAGCGCGCGUAGGUGGUUUUGUAAGUUGGAGGUGAAAUCCCCGGGCUCAACCUUGGAACUGCCUCCAAAACUGCAUGACUAGAGUACGGUAGAGGGUAGUGGAAUUUCCUGUGUAGCGGUGAAAUGCGUAGAUAUAGGAAGGAACACCAGUGGCGAAGGCGACUACCUGGACUGAUACUGACACUGAGGUGCGAAAGCGUGGGGAGCAAACAGGAUUAGAAACCCGUGUCGUCC